RNAcentral lists this ribosomal RNA (526 nucleotides) under uncultured bacterium. RNAcentral's name for it is "partial 16S ribosomal RNA". It matches the Rfam family "Bacterial small subunit ribosomal RNA", at positions 28 to 523 of the family's 1533-position model. The record is from RNAcentral.
GACGAACGCUGGCGGCGUGCCUAAUACAUGCAAGUCGAGCGCAGGAAGCCGUUCCGAACCCUUCGGGGGGACGAACGGUGGAAUGAGCGGCGGACGGGUGAGUAACACGUAAAGAACCUGCCCAUAGGUCUGGGAUAACCACGAGAAAUCGGGGCUAAUACCGGAUGUGUCAUCGGACCGCAUGGUCCGCUGAUGAAAGGCGCUCCGGCGUCGCCCAUGGAUGGCUUUGCGGUGCAUUAGCUAGUUGGUGGGGUAACGGCCCACCAAGGCGACGAUGCAUAGCCGACCUGAGAGGGUGAUCGGCCACACUGGGACUGAGACACGGCCCAGACUCCUACGGGAGGCAGCAGUAGGGAAUCUUCCACAAUGGACGAAAGUCUGAUGGAGCAACGCCGCGUGAACGAUGAAGGCUUUCGGGUCGUAAAGUUCUGUUGUAAGGGAAGAACAAGUGCCGCAGGCAAUGGCGGCACCUUGACGGUACCUUGCGAGAAAGCCACGGCUAACUACGUGCCAGCAGCCGCGGUAA